UACGAAGGGGGGCUAGCGUUGUUCGGAUUUACUGGGCGUAAAGCGCACGUAGGCGGUUUGUUAAGUCGGGGGUGAAAUCCUGGAGCUCAACUCCAGAACUGCCUUCGAUACUGGAAGACUUGAGUCCGGGAGAGGUGAGUGGAACUGCGAGUGUAGAGGUGAAAUUCGUAGAUAUUCGCAGGAACACCAGUGGCGAAGGCGGCUUACUGGUCCAUAACUGACGCUGAGGUGCGAAAGCGUGGGGAGCAAACAGGG
RNAcentral lists this ribosomal RNA (255 nucleotides) under uncultured bacterium. RNAcentral's name for it is "partial 16S ribosomal RNA". It matches the Rfam family "Bacterial small subunit ribosomal RNA", at positions 524 to 777 of the family's 1533-position model. The record is from RNAcentral.